RNAcentral lists this long non-coding RNA (1579 nucleotides) under Limulus polyphemus (Atlantic horseshoe crab). Its description in RNAcentral is "uncharacterized LOC106471932". The record is from RNAcentral. Lineage: Eukaryota; Metazoa; Arthropoda; Merostomata; Xiphosura; Limulidae.
GGCAAUGUUGUCUGACAGUGUAUAAACCAAGGGUAGUGCAACGUAUGUGGUAAAAUUGAAUGUUUAAUUGGUUAAGAAACAAAAUAACACAAUGUCUAUAAGCCCUCAGGAAAAAGAACUGAGAUGUGUUCUACACUGGUUUACACUAUGGACAGAGUCUCAGAAAGCACAGUUUUUGGAAUUACUUUUGGAUAAAGCACUUCCUCUAAGUACUGGUAAUGUAUCUUAUUGUUUGGAAGCUCUGACAGUCCAAGAAAAUUCUCCCAGUGUUUUCAGGUGCCAGUUAAAUCUUUUUUCAUCUUGGUUUGAUGAGUGGACAGAUAGAGAAAGAACUAACCUGUUGAGAAAACUUCAUGAGAGGGAUAGUAGAUUUGUUGAAACAUUUUACUGUCGUACUUCUAGUUUAAACUCUCAUAAUGACCAGUAAACAAUUAUUAACUGUUUAUUCUAUGACUGACUGAGUCUCCUAUUCCAGAUGACAGAGAUAAAGUCAGUAUUUGGCAGACAACCACCUGGAAAAACAGAACAGUUACAGUACCUGUUAGAGUGGUUUCAGGAGUACAGCAGUCUGCAGAAAGAGAAUUUUCUGCAAAUUUUAAGAGAUAAAUAUGUACCGGGUAAUCCUGAUACGUUAUCAGACACACUCAGAACUGUACAGUUAGAGGAUCGACCCAUCAGUAUAUUUCAGUGUCGCAUGAAACUGUUUGGUGAGUGGUUUGACAAUUGGGGUGAUGAGGAAAAAGCAGAGCUACUGUUACGUUUGAAAAUGUUAGACAAAAGCUUUGUAGAGAAGUUUGAGGAAGCCUUAUCAAACUGUGUCACUAAGUAAACUUUGUCUUUAUCUCAUGAUUUCAAGUGCUUUGGAUUUUUCUUAAAACAACAAAUGCACUGCUUUUGCAGAAAAAAUACUUUUAAUAGAAAAUAUGACUGUUAUUAUAAUUUUUAUUUCUAAAAAUCAUUAUAGUGGCAAAAAACAAGUUUUUAAAACAAAAACCUGUCUGGAAAUAAAUUAUUUUGAGCCUCUGGAUCAUAUGUAAAACCUUUUAGAAUUAUACCUGUGAUAAUAAAAACAAACAAUCAGGUUGUUUAGUCUGAUCUGUAAGACUUAUAAUUUGAUGAAGUAACAGUAAAUAAGUUUGUAAUAAUUCAAGUGGUCAGAUUUACAAUUUUCAUUCCAAUAAUGUCCAGUUUUUUAUGAUAUUCAAGGUAGCUUUAUAAGGUUGUUUUUUGCUAAUAUUUUUAUAAGAAAGAUUAUUUGUAAUUAAAAUGACUGUGGAAUACCCAUCCCAGUGAGGGUUUUUGUGUUUGAGUCAAGGUUAUUUAUAUAUCAUUACCUGAAAUACUGUAAAUGUAAUUGAUUUAAAUGUCACAUGAAUGUUUUAAAACAACAAAAAAACAAAUAAAAAACACAUCAUGAUAAAUUCUAAGUAAUGUAAUUACGUUAUAAAUGUUUUAAGAUUCUACAUGACAAGUUAAUUAAAUAUGAAAAACAAAGUAACAACAUGUUUUUUAAUCCCACAAUUGUGGCUUGUAUGAGCAUUCUCAACAUAUUUUUGAAUAAAUUCGGUUUAUAUAAAAA